UAACGCGUGGGAACAUGCCCCAAAGUGAGGAAUAACUGCCCGAAAGGGUAGCUAAUGCCGCAUAUGAUCUUCGGAUUAAAGGAUUUAUCCGCUUUGGGAGUGGCCCGCGUACGAUUAGGUAGUUGGUGAGGUAAAGGCUCACCAAGCCCACGAUCGUUAACUGGUCUGAGAGGAUGAUCAGUCAGACUGGAACUGAGACACGGUCCAGACUCCUACGGGAGGCAGCAGUGAGGAAUCUUCCACAAUGGGCGAAAGCCUGAUGGAGCGACGCCGCGUGCAGGAUGAAGGCCUUCGGGUUGUAAACUGCUUUUAUAAGUGAAGAAUAUGACGGUAACUUAUGAAUAAGCACCGGCUAACUACGUGCCAGCAGCCGCGGUCAUACGUAGGGUGCAAGCAUUAUCCGGAGUGACUGGGCGUAAAGAGUUGCGUAGGUGGACAAGUAAGCGAAUAGUGAAAUGUGGCGGCUCAACCGUACACACUAUUAUUCGAACUGCUUGUCUCGAGAAUGGUAGAGGUAACUGGAAUUUCUAGUGUAGGAGUGAAAUCCGUAGAUAUUAGAAGGAACACCAAUGGCGUAGGCAGGUUACUGGACCAUUUCUGACACUAAGGCACGAAAGCGUGGGGAGCGAACCGGAUUAGAUACCCGGGUAGUCCACGCCGUAAACUAUGGAUACUAGCUGUUGGAGGUAUCGACCCCUUCAGUAGCGAAGCUAACGCGUUAAGUAUCCCGCCUGUG
Molecule: ribosomal RNA, 736 nt
Filed under: uncultured bacterium
Lineage: Bacteria
Description: bacterial SSU rRNA
Rfam family: Bacterial small subunit ribosomal RNA
Source: RNAcentral